RNAcentral lists this ribosomal RNA (462 nucleotides) under uncultured bacterium. RNAcentral describes it as "partial 16S ribosomal RNA". It matches the Rfam family "Bacterial small subunit ribosomal RNA", at positions 29 to 523 of the family's 1533-position model. The record is from RNAcentral.
AAUGAACGUUGGCGGCAUGGAUUAGGCAUGCAAGUCGGGGGAAUCCCAGCAAUGGGGGAACCGGCGUAAGGGGCAGUAAGGUAUGGGUACCUACCUUGGGGUUCGGGAUAGCCAUCAGAGAUGGUGGGUAAUACCGGAUGACGUCGUGAGACCAAAGAUUUAUCGCCCUUAGAGGGGCCCAUGUGAUAUUAGCUAGUUGGUGGGGUAACGGCCCACCAAGGCGAAGAUGUCUAGCGGGUGUGAGAGCACGACCCGCGCCACUCGCACUGAGACACUGGCGAGACACCUACGGGUGGCUGCAGUCGAGGAUCUUCGGCAAUGAGCGCAAGCUUGACCGAGCGAUGCCGCGUGAGCGAUGAAGGCCUACGGGUUGUAAAGCUCUUUAGUGGGGGAGAAAAGCCGCAAGGUGUGAUCUAUCCCAAAAAUAAGCACGGGCUAAGUUCGUGCCAGCAGCCGCCGCCG